UGCCAGCCGCCGCGGUAAUACGGAGGGUGCAAGCGUUGCUCGGAAUUAUUGGGCGUAAAGGGGAGGUAGGUGGUCUCGUUUGUCUGGGGUGAAAGCCCGGAGCUCAACUCCGGAAGUGCCUCGGAAACGGCGAGACUAGAGUCCUGGAGGGGGUCGUGGAAUUCCCGGUGUAGCGGUGAAAUGCGUAGAGAUCGGGAGGAACACCAGAGGCGAAGGCGGCGACCUGGCCCAAUAUUGACGCUGAGGUGCGAAAGCGUGGGUAGCGAACAGGAUUAGAUA
RNAcentral lists this ribosomal RNA (279 nucleotides) under uncultured bacterium. Its description in RNAcentral is "partial 16S ribosomal RNA". It matches the Rfam family "Bacterial small subunit ribosomal RNA", at positions 506 to 784 of the family's 1533-position model. The record is from RNAcentral.